GCCCACUUGUGCCGCAAUCGGUCAGUGCCUAUGGCUGUUAACCAGAAGGUUGCUGGUUUGAGCCCGCCCUGGGGUU
This is a non-coding RNA of Podarcis lilfordi (Lilford's wall lizard), 76 nucleotides long. NCBI's taxonomy places the organism in Eukaryota, Metazoa, Chordata, Lepidosauria, Squamata, Lacertidae. The record is from the annotation of a GenBank genome assembly.